GUACUGCCGAAGAGUUCAAGUGUAGGACGAAACAGAUGUCCAGUAC
RNAcentral lists this non-coding RNA (46 nucleotides) under Trichobilharzia regenti. The record is from RNAcentral. Lineage: Eukaryota; Metazoa; Platyhelminthes; Trematoda; Strigeidida; Schistosomatidae.